UACGUAGGGGGCAAGCGUUGUCCGGAUUUAUUGGGCGUAAAGCGAGCGCAGGCGGAAAGAUAAGUCUGAUGUGAAAGCCCCCGGCUUAACCGAGGAAUUGCAUCGGAAACUGUGUUUCUUGAGUGCUGGAGAGGCAAUCGGAAUUCCGUGUGUAGCGGUGAAAUGCGUAGAUAUACGGAGGAACACCAGUGGCGAAGGCGGAUUGCUGGACAGUAACUGACGCUGAGGCUCGAAAGCGUGGGGAGCAAACAGG
RNAcentral lists this ribosomal RNA (253 nucleotides) under uncultured Lactobacillus sp. RNAcentral describes it as "partial 16S ribosomal RNA". It matches the Rfam family "Bacterial small subunit ribosomal RNA", at positions 524 to 776 of the family's 1533-position model. Lineage: Bacteria; Bacillati; Bacillota; Bacilli; Lactobacillales; Lactobacillaceae. The record is from RNAcentral.